AUGAUUGGUCCCAAGUCUCAGAUAAUUGUUACAACACACAAUCACAUCCAACAUGAAGAGAUGAGUCUACAUAACAAAGGAAGUAUCAGGCCGGUUUUAAAGCAACAUUAUGUAGAAACUGGCCCUUUGUGCAUGUUGGCGCCCCCCAGAGUUUCUGAGUGCAACACCACUGUGGUCAACACAAAUCACAGGUCUGUAACAAUUUAAUGAAGGUGUUAACUACCGUGUUGAGACUUUCGUCACAGCUCCGUUAUCAGACUCCUGGGUUGCAACACAACAGUGAAAGACAACAAACACAUUCGUGUUAAAGUUUUUCACAUCAGCUCACAUAUACUACAACUGCAGUACGAUGAUAUUUACUUACCUUGCUAUUAUCUCCGCCCAUUCUCAGUGUUGUACAGUCUGAUCCAGAGAUCUUUAUCUCACCUCAGAGUUGGUCUGUCUGUCCUCCUGCUGCUGUAUGAGCACAUGUUAUUAAUGAAACCAUUUCAGAAAAACUAAUAUGUUUAUUUUGGUGUUCUUGUUUAACAGGUUUGUCAACAUUUCGUGUUUAUAAUGUAAAAACAGAAACGUCAUCUUACUUCUUUGACUUCAAUAAAAACUAAAUUCUGACCUGUUCCUUUGUUUGAUUUAUAAAUUAAAUGACAUAACAGAAUAAAUGGAUGAUACAAUAAUGUUUAAGAAAUAAAAUAAUCUUAGUUACUUUUCCUGUAGCUGGAAGGUAAAAACAAACAAACAGUUAAAAAGUCAAACUGAAGUGAACUGCUUUCAUCAAAUCUCUAAACUCUUGUUAUUGUUGUAUUAUUUUUAAACGUCUUUUACAAUAAAAUGUUCUUGUUGCUCCGACUAAGAACUAAUAAUUAAAAUAUAUAAAGCAUGUGUUACAAUACCUUUAGAUGGUGAACGAACUGUGCCACUCGAAGAGACGAGUGAAACUAAAUCUGCUUUAGUGUCGCACUAAAAUGAGAAUUGCAAACCUGCAUCACACAAAGAUCAGCACAGAAAGUUAAACUAUCUGCAGCUCCUCCUUGAGACCAAAGGCCACAGUAAUAUAAGGAGUUAUCUCUGAUAAUUAGAUUAAUUAUUUACAAGAAGACCACGUGUUGUUUCUUUCUUCUUCCAUUUUCUAUCAUAUCCCUGAAAUCCCAUAAUGUGAUAUUUUCUAUCGUGUGUGCAGGUUUUUAUGAGAUAAUAACUUUUAUCAGAAGCCUUUAAUUCAUCUGUCCUUAUUGUCUGUCUUCUGAUAGUAAUGCUGAAAAGUCACAGUGUACAAAUAAAGAGGAUGUGUUAGGAACAAUGAUACUAUGACCAGAGAGUGAGGGAGUUUAUUAUCUAAAGAGGAUACAGAUUAUUAUUAUUAUUAUUAUUAUUAUCUGUGAUUAAUUUACCCUAUUUGUCUUCUACAGAGGCCCUAAAGGCCCAUAAUGUGAUAUUUUCUAUCUUUGGAGCAAAUGGUUUUAUAGAAGUUCUAUCAGUGAGUCUUGAGACAAGAGCGCACAGAAGUACAAGAGAAAACACUUUUAACGGGUUAUUAUGGUUUAAAAUAUCUUAGUUUGUGGGAGCUGUGACGCUGCUUCCAGUGACGCUCACCGGACUUCUGGCAUAUUGAAGGCCGGUUGUUGUUGUUAGUUGUAAGCCCAGUUGUUAGUCCAGUUGUUGGUCCAGUUGUUGUUGGUUCAGUUGUUGCUCCCCUGCAGCAGGUUUGACAGUAGAGCUGCAGCACUCGGCAGGUGACAGGUGAUACAGUUAGUGAUGGUGGAGUCUAGUUAACAUGGUUAGUCAGGGAUAAAGUGCAGAAUACCAGACUGAUAACUUAGUUUCUAACACUGAGACUGUCACCUUCCCUCGUCACUCUCUCACUGAAUCAUCCUCUGAAUGUGUAAAUCACAAUAAUCUGAUCUUGAUCUCCUCUGACAGUGGACACAUGUCUCAGCAAGCACCGCAAACAGUCUCACAUAAUAAUAAACCAAAGCUAAUCACUUCUGCAUCCUGUCAUCUCCACCUGUACAGGCAGCAAGACAAAUGGUACCUUGUUCCAAUUUAACUCUUACUUACUGUUAUUACUGAUCUGGUGAUUCGUUCAGAUAAGAUCCAAACUAUUGAAGAUUUCAAUAUCCACUUUAAUGAGCCUUCUGACCCUCCAAGUAAAGCUUUUUUCUGGCUUCAUUCAGCUUGUUCAUGAAACCACUCUAAAUAACAAAACACAAAUAUGAAGAAUUAUGUGGUUUUUAAUGACAAACUGAUUAUAAGUAACAAAUUGUAAAAAUACAAGAAGAGGAAGAACAAAUUCUGAGGUUAAAUCAAAGAUCUGAACUUCAGUCAGAGACGAGGUGAAUGCUGUACUGACCGAGUCUCAGUGACGAUCAUUAGUUCCAUCACUUCCUUUCAUUUUUGGCCUCAGAUCGUUUCCUGAUCGACAAACAUUUUACAAUCAUAUCCAAAAGUCAACAACAACUUAGUAUGACAGACCAGAUAUGUUGAAGUUUCCCCCAAAGUGAGACGGUUGUGUUCACGAUGUCUCCAUCAUCACCUCAGACAACAAACUCCUGAGCAGCAGGGAGACUCCUCUCAUCUUCUUCUUUUACAUCAAAUCAUCUUUACAUUGUUUGUACAGUAAUCUAGUAUCAUCAGCAUGAAGGAAGACAUUCACAAGUCAGUCUCCACAUAUUCACAGGUACAGGUGCACUUUAUGAAGAUUUAACAUUUGUAUGAUUGAUCCCUCAUUGAUAACAUAAGUUUAGUUAUCAGCAAAAUCAAAGUAAAUCACAGUUGAAUCCUGCUCCAUCAUACGGGAUCAUUUCUGACUCAGGACAUUUACUUCCCAGUACUUAUUCAGUGUAGUAUUAAUAAUAAUUUUUUGGAUACACUUUACUUGUAACAGAGUAUUUUGUGUGGUAUCAAUACUUUUACUCAAGUACCAUUUUCAUGUAAGAUUUUUCCUUCCAACGGUACUUUCACAGCGUGGUAUUAAAACUUUCACUUCAAUAGUAUUUUUAAGGCAGAACUUCAAAUGAAUCUGGUGUUUCUACAGAAUUAUUUCUCUUUUUUAAAGUCACUUUUAAAGACACUUUUCAGUUUGAAUCUUGCUUCAUCAUCUGGAAUCAUUCUCGUAGGUUUUGAUCUAAAAGAAAAAGAAGUUGAUUUCACUGUUGUGACUUCUAGUCCAGAUACAAGUGACAGAAAAAAAUAAUGCAAGUAUUACUUAUUACUGAAAAUGUAGAGUUUUCAUGAUGUUCACAGCUUCAUUUAUCUGUUGAAAUGUAGAAGUUUAACUCACAGAUACUCACCUUUACGUCUCCAUGUUGUUAUUAAAAAACCCUCUUGAGAAGACGUUUGACGUUAUGUCGCAGCCUGCAGUGAGUAACAAUCAUUAUUAGAAUGUGACUGUAAGUUAUGUUACUAAAAACCUUAUCCUAAAUUAUACAAACUUUUAACACUCAGUGAAAGUUAUGUAUUAAUAACCACUAUAAUAAUGUGAUGAUUAGUUCAAACUUACAUCUUUUUAAAAGAGAACUUUCCCUCUUUUAACUCUUCAGUGUGACCAUCUCGUCCGUCACUCUCAGUAGAGGCACAAUGCUGAUUUUCCACAGAGACUCUGGAAGGAAGAAACACACAAACAAACACACACACACACUUACAAUCAUCUCAUUUUUGUCUAUCACAAUGUGUACAUUAUUCAUAUUUUUAAAGCUUAUAUGACUUAUCUAUCAAUUUCAAUAUGCAUGACCAUCC
Molecule: long non-coding RNA, 3732 nt
Filed under: Sparus aurata (gilthead seabream)
Lineage: Eukaryota; Metazoa; Chordata; Actinopteri; Spariformes; Sparidae
Description: lncRNA (ENSSAUG00010018141.1)
Source: RNAcentral